CAAGGGAUACGGCUCAGUAACGCGUAGUCAACCUACCCUAUGGACGAGAAUAACCUCGGGAAACUGACAAUAAUGCCCGAUAGAACACUAUACCUGGAAUGGUUUGUGUUCCAAAUGAUUUAUCGCCGUAAGAUGGGACUGCGGCCUAUCAGUUUGUUGGUGAGGUGAUGGCCCGCCAAGACGAUUACAGGUACGGGCUCUGAGAGGAGUAGCCCGGAGAUGGGUACUGAGACACGGACCCGGGCCCUAUGGGGGGCAGCACGCCCAAAAACUUUGCAAUGUGCGAAAGCACGACAAGGUUAAUCCCAGUGGUUUCUGCUGAAGGAACCUUUUGUUAGUCCUUUAAACACUAACGAAUAAGGGGUGGGCAAGUUCUGGUGUCAGCCGCCGCGGUAAAACCAGCACCUCAAGUGGUCAGGAUGAUUAUUGGGCCUAAAGCAUCCGUAGCCGGCUCUGUAAGUUUUCGGUUAAAUCUGUACGCUCAACGUACAGGCUGCCGGGAAUACUGCAGAGCUAGGGAGUGGGAGAGGUAGACGGUACUCGGGAGGAAGUGGUAAAAUGCUUUGAUCU
This 570-nucleotide ribosomal RNA is filed under the name uncultured archaeon. Its description in RNAcentral is "bacterial SSU rRNA". It matches the Rfam family "Archaeal small subunit ribosomal RNA", at positions 77 to 648 of the family's 1478-position model. The record is from RNAcentral.